This 9093-nucleotide long non-coding RNA is filed under the name Sarcophilus harrisii (Tasmanian devil). Its description in RNAcentral is "lncRNA (ENSSHAG00000030307.1)". Lineage: Eukaryota; Metazoa; Chordata; Mammalia; Dasyuromorphia; Dasyuridae. The record is from RNAcentral.
AGUGCCCAGCUGUUUUUCACAGGACUCAAGGAACAGAAGGUGGGGUCCGUCUUGUCCCUGCAGGGUAGAGUCCAACACAACAUCAACAGUUGGGGGGCUGUCCCAAAGCUCCUCGACCUCACCGGAUCUCUUAAACAGAAGAAUCAAAGCAACGAGGGGAACCUCGGCAUCUUUAUUGAUGAUGCUAUGUUUGGGCUCCGGCUAAGGGACAAACACGUGUUGGGGAACAGCAGCACACGCAGCGUGAGCUGUGUGAUGAUUCAGAAUGGCAGUCAGGCCAUCCCUGAGGAACUUAAGCUGAGGGGACAAUUGCAGACCCAACCUAAUGGCUAUCAUGCCCAUGUUACCCUUCACGCAGAGGAGACCAUUUUGUCCCUGGGCACAGCCUGCAUGAUAGCUCCAGGGCACAGACAGCUCUCUGCCAAUCUGUCCCACAACAGUGACACCUUAAAAAGUUCAGGACUGCCGACGAGUGGAGAGCUUCUGUUCUCCCACACCUACCGUGCUCCCAACCACAGGCUGACUCUGGGGCUACAGAGCAAUGGACACCAUCUUGAUGCUGCCUUGAGAGUAGAAAAUCCUGGGGAAUUCUCAGAGGCCCAGAUCACUGCAAACCUGAGCCACAAUGUCGAGGACUUCAGGCAACUUGGAAUCCCUUUUUCUGUUGAAGGAGACUGUUAUUAUCAAAACUCUGGCUCCAGGCUGGUGGCUGGCAUGAAGGCUGGGUUGGAUGGGGAGCACCUUCACUUGGCACUGGAGAGAAAGAAGAAUGGAGGCCGUUCAGAGGAGGUGGUUCUUGGGCUACAGCACAGUGUUCCUGGACUCAUUGGUGUGGUGCCCUCCAGGUUCCAGGUCAGCUGCAGCGGGGAAGCCUCCUCCAGCCAGCUGUCCGGCCACUGCAGCGGGGACAUCUCCCACCGUCCGUUUGAGGUACAGACUUCCUUCUCAGCCAUGGGGUCCCGUAGAUGUGGUGCAGUGAGGUUCAACUAUUGCCGGGACAGCCUGAGCGCGAGCAGCUGUCACAGCAGGGGACGUGGGCAGGAAGUCGCAGCAGAGCUGGUGCACACAUUCUCCCACCUCCGUUUGCUUCACAUCCCAAGAGAUGUGAAGGUCAGAGCCUUGCUCAGGUGUCAGCCCGGUAGACUGAAGGCCAGGCUAAAUCUAACGGCAGAGGGAUGGGGGAUCCACACCCACUUAGAUGUUCAAAACUCAUCAGGCUUCAAAAAGAGCAGAGUAACUUCCUCUCCGAGGGGGCAGACUGAUGUGCUUCUCAUCAACUGUACCGCAGACACCCGGAGGGUCCCCAAGCCACGUUGCCAUGGUUUUGAAGGGCAUGUCCAUGCCUCCCUUGACAGGAGAGGUGUACUACUCUCAGCAAGAACUCACUGGCAGGGCUGGGGCAUAGCCAAGGUCAAGUUGCUCCAGGAUCUAUCACAAAAAAAGAAACCACAGAAUUUAGGCAGGAGGUGGUCAAUCACAUUAUAUGCAAAAGCAAAAAAUAAAAAGAUUAAGGGCAGCUUGAAAGUUCGGAGAAAUCAAGAUUCUUUCCAUACAAGCGGGUUUAUCUGGCUGCUGGAUCGUGGGGCCAGGAUGAACUGGACUUGGGAGCACCAGUGGAGACAGCUGAGCACUCUCCCUGUGCCUUCAAGUGUACAGCUAGUGGGGUGGGUGACCUACAGCCCAACGUCGCUCAUUAGCAAGGUCCGAGUCACGGUGGGGGGCCAGCCCCUGAGAGGGGAGCUGCUGACCUCCUGGGGGAGGAAGACAGAGCUGAGGAUGCUGCUGCACCACGCCAUCCUGAGCUGGCUGCAGGCCGGCAUUCCUGAGAGAACCUGGCUCCAUGGAGCAGCUCGGCUGGGGGGCCGGGCAGACCUGAGUCUGGAGAUGCUGAGUGGAUCCUGCAGGGCGUCCGGUGUGGGGCAACAAGGGAGGAGACCACCCGGGCAGUGGAGGCUGGCCCUCCGUGGUCACUGUCCCUACUUCCAGAGUCCAGCCAUGCUGUCCCUGAAUGGUUCCCUUCUAGUACAUGGUUGCAAGGCCAGGCUGGCUGGAUACCUCUCUUCUGGUGAAGCCUUUACCCACAUCCACUUGUACACUUUCUGUGGUCUCCACAACCACUUGGAAGCCCAACUUCAACAAUCGUGGCCUCUACUCAAAGGACUGGGAAUUGCCGAAGAGAAUCUUUUCAGGGUAUCAACUACAGGUGGAGAUGCACCAAAGGUGCUACUAGAAAUGACCAUCGGCCCAUGUUCUAUGAUGGCAGAUGGAGAUGUCAGGAUGGAAAGCAACAGAACUCAAACCAACUGGACCCUCUUUCUGGAGAAUCAUUGCCCUACAAUAGAGAAAGCAGGCUUUCCACAGAGUCUGGCCACCAGGGGUUCCCUCAGGAUUGAGCCCUGUGAUAGUGAUCUCACCAUGGCCCUCCAGAGUGAUGAAGGAGAUGCUCAUGUGCACUUAGCAACUUCCUGCAGACAAAAACCCUUGGUGCAAGGAAGCCUGCACCAUUCCUUGAGGUCCCUGACCCAUCUGGGGCUGCCCCCCAGCAGCACCAUCUACCUGCAGACAGGGUUGGGCUCUGUCCCACAAAGUUCCUUUAUUCUCCAAGUUGGGCAGUGUCGGCUCCUGGGAACAAUAGAGCUCCAGCCCAGGAACAAAACCCAAUGGGUACUUGAUACAGAGACAGACUGUGACAUACUGCAGGACCUUGGGAUCCCCGCCCGGAUGCACCUCAAUGGAUCAGCUCAGGUGGCCGACAGUCAGGUCAAGCUGCUCUGCAGUCUGCUGAUGGAUGGCCCGGCAGCUUUCUUGGAACUCAGGGGGGCAUGGCAACCCCAGCUCACCAUCCGGGCCACGUUCAGGCACACCUUGCCGGCAUUCUGGGCCAUCCCACAGGAGACCAAGCUGUCUUUCCAAGCUGGCAAACAGGCCAAAUACCAGCUGAGCCUGACCCUGAGAUCUGGAGCCUGUGAACUCCAAGCUAAUGGGGAUCUGCAGCUGGAGAAGAAGUUCCAGUGGAGGGCCCUGGUUGAGAAUUUCUGCAAAGCGAUGCAGGCUCUUGGGAUCCCAGGUCGGAUUGAUGGCUCUGGCUAUGUGGUGGUGAACAAUAUGGAUCUGGAUGCUCAGAUGUUGGUCACUGUAGAUGACAGCACAGUGAGAGGCCUUCUUAUCCUGAAGGCCACUGAGACACAUCAAGAGCUAGACAUGCUGUUCACCCACAACCUCCCUGAUGCUAUCCACUUUGGCAUCCCAGCUCGGAUCCUGGUGGAUGUGACCACAGUGAGAAGUAAUCAUAGUUACAGGCGUACCAUCCGGUUUGGAAUGGACAACAAGCAGAUUUCUGAAGAGCUCGGUUUCACUCAACAGUCAGACUAUGUUUCCCUUGACUACAAAAUCCGACACAACAUCCUGACAUUACAGGCAUUGGGGCUGGAAGACAGGAUAGACUUGCAGGUAUCUCUGGACCACCAAGCAGCCAAGAACUUGAGUGUCAGAGCCCAAUAUGGCUCAGGGAUCAUCACCUUUGGAGGCCAAAGCUGGAGCACCACAGCCAAACACUCCUGGUCUGGGACCUUCUGGCAUAACUGGCCUAUGUUGUUGCAGUGUGGACUUCCAGAAUCGCUUCAGGUUGUGAUGUACUUCCAAGGAAUCGAUUCCAACAUUGACAGUUCUGUGAACAUUCUGGUGGGGCAGACCUCUCUCAACUACACCAUGAGUUGUUUUUAUGCCAGACAGCAAAUAGAGUUCUCUUGUUGGAGCAAACAUAACAGCAGUGCUCUCAGGCAAGGAACUGGCUACCCGGAGGUGGUCGGCUUUACUGUAGUGCUACAGACACAAGAAACACAAACCCAGGGCAGCGUGAACAUCCAGGGAGGGGACAGGAAAAUCAGUGUCAAUGUGGCAGCUCUGGCAGCCUUGGAACUAAAUGGGACCCUCGAGCUUGUGGCCCAUAUCCAACACACAGUGCCAAUUCUCAGGCAGCUGGGCCUGCCCUUCACAAGCCAGUUGUUAUUCCAAGAAAUCUUGGCAGCCAGUGAAAUGAAAACAUCCUUGGAGGUGACCUGUGAGAACCAAACAAGUCUCCUCAUCCAUGUGAGGGGAAGGAAUCAACCACUCAGCAAAGAACUACAUGUUACCAGCCAACAGCAUCUCUCCUUCCUCUUCAACCACUUCCCCAGAAAAGCCAAACUUUCCACCAAGGUAAGUUAUUCUACAAGUGGAGCUGAAAACAUGAUUGCUGUUGACCUGGAAAAGCAUCAUUUCCACAUGGCCACAAAGCUGACAUUUGCUGCAUCCAACUUCACUCAAGUGACUGAGCUGAUGCAUACAAUUCCCCAGCUCAAAAUGAUCCCCUGGGAAAUGGUGCUUCUGACCAUGUGUCAGAAAGCCAAUGGGACAAGAACCAUCCAACAAUUGGUGCUAUGGGGUGGCCAGGAGUUCAAGUUCAUCGGCAGCUACUCAGGGCUUUUCCCCAAGUUCUCAAGGGGCCAGCACCUGCAGGUGGAACUUGUCCAUCCUCUCUCCAUCCCUUUUCCUCAGCAUUCCAAGAUCACCAUGUCUCUGCACCACUCAGUUCACAACCAUCAAGAUAAUGUAGUCAUUGAAUGGAACGGCAAGGAGCAGGUGGUGCUCUCCUCCUCCCUAAAGCUGGGGAAAGAUCAAGUGGAUGGUCAGGUGGCAUUUGUGCAUCCCUUCAACCUGUCCUGGAGCCACGUGGAAGCCAAGGGCCUGGCGGAGAGGAGAGGGAGCAGAUGCAAGCAACAGGUACAACUUGCCUGGAAUAGGGGGAAACCUGUCAACUUCCAGCUCUUCUGGGCAGAUAGGUCAGAAGCUAUCAUGACCAUCUGGGAAGGCUGCCUGACUGCAACCUCAGGACAGCUCCAGAAAUUCCUGCCCCUGAGCAAUCUCAAGGCCUGUGGGUCUGUAACUCAGACUGCAGUAGUGUUCAGCGAGCAUCUUGAUCUGUCCUGGGACAGCUGGAAAGUCAAACAGAAUCUGAAAUAUGAGAAACACCUGCCACUCCAGUCGGAUAGACUCCAUGCAGAAGUGACUCUAGAGAACAUCUUCCUUUCCUCCUGUCCCAAACAAAGCUUCCAGGGAGAAAUAGAGACUGACUACCUCAGUCGUCUCAGCCAUUCUCUCAGGCUGGGCCUCUGUAAUUUUUCCAGUGCUGUUGUGAUCUCUGGAGAACAUCUGCUGAGCCAAGGUAGCUUCAUGCUACAGUCCAAGAGCCUGUUCCGUCUUGCCCCAGAUCCUGGGGAUGGUUUGGUGUUGGUCUUAACCCUCAGGAACCACAGUACCCCAAAGACUCAAGACUUCUCUGGAGAGCUAGAGAUGAGGGCACCUGGAAAUCAGCAAGUGAGCCUGCUGGGAAGGGUCACUGAAUCAGCCUCUCAGAAGGUAGUCCUGCUACAGGGGAGCAUGGAAAGAGAGGAAAAGUUGAAGUUGACAGCUUCCCGGACUCCAGACUGUCUCCGAGCUUACCUAGCAUAUGGAAAAGGACCAAAAGAGGAGGGUGUGGAGAUCAGUGCCUGCUCUGACAGAAGGCAGGUGGCCAGAGCUGAGGCUGUAUUCCGCAUCCAAGGUGGGCAGAAUGAAUCCUUGGGCCAGCUGGUCCUCGAGGCUGCAAACCAGAGUCUAAGCCUGGCUGCCCGCGGCUGCAUCACUCCCCUGGGAAACGCGGAGUCCAAACUGGCCAAGGCCGGGUCUCACCUACAAGCCAGACUUGUGGAGAAGUUCCAAGUGUUUGACACCUACCUCCAGAAGUUCCGGGACCUGGUGCAACAGAUAGACUUUCUGGACAGUGCAGCUGGCUGGGUCCUGCAGAUGUCCCAGGAUGCUGUGAAAGCACUACAGGCAGGGGGUAGAGCUGCAGCUGGACUAUGGAGGCAAAGCUCAGCCAGGCAGCUGCUGAGACAUCACCUCCCUCUGCACCUGGAGAGGCUCCAGAUUCUGAUGGAACAGACGCAGAGUGAGCUGCAAAAGCCAUUAGCCACGCUGAAGGAUGCCUACUACGAAGUCACCCUCAAGCCCCUGGAUGAGGUAUGGCAGGAGAGGACCGAGGAGGCUCUGAGGAGGAUGCAGGCCUGUGUGCCCUCGGGGAUGGUGGACACCUGGCUCACGAGGCCAGUCCGGCUCUCUUUACGAGCUGUGAAAGGUGCCCUGGAUCUGGCUGCCCACCAGAUACUGAAGUGGGCAGAAGCCAAAUUCUCCAGAGCAAUAAGAAGACUACGGAAACCCUUGUCCAGCAUUUACAGCUUCUCUGCGAGGAAUUGCUCCGUGGUGAUAAGGCUUCCAGUGCUGCCAGGAGGGGAUCAGCCAAUGGACUUGGCCAAGGUGACCAACUAUCUCAUCGAAGAAAAAUUGCUGCAGCCCCUUCGUGAAUUGUACAGCAUCAACCUCCUGGCGGAAUAUUAUCGUAUCAAGCAUCGGCUGCUGGAGAACCCCUUUGAACACCAUGCCGUGAUGAUUGGGGACAGGCACGUGGUGACGUUCGAUGGGCAGGCCUAUGACCUUACCUCCAAAUGCAGCCUGUUGCUUGCCAAAGACUUUGCUCGGAACUCCUUCCUGUUUUUACUGAACCAGCCGAACACAGGACCCAGAUCCUUGUAUGUGGAAUUGAAUCACACAGCCUUUAUCAUCUACCCAGGACUAAAGGUCUACAAGAUAUAUGAUUCUUCCUUAAUAGGAGAGAACUGUCUGGGUUUUGAUCCUUUGCCUGACAAGGUCAGAGCCAAUGGGAGGAAAGAAGUUUAUAAAAUAGAAUUAUCCAAUGAGAAUGGUGCUAUGGUCUCCUGUGACAUUCAUUCUGAUAUCUGUAGUAUGACACUGGAUGGCUGGAAUCAUGGUAUGUCAGCAGGUAUCUUGGGCACCAAUGACAACGAGGCAGGCAAUGAUCUGUUGCUCCCAAAUGGAUCCCUGGCAGGCAAUCUGGAUGAAUUCACUGAGGCAUGGAAGAUGGAUAGUGAGUGCCAGGCCCAGAGAAGGAAAUCAGAGACCUGUCUCCAAGCUCCGUCCUUCAGACUCUGCAAAGCAUUCUUUUUGGAUGCCCACUCUGAGCUCCGUAAUUGCUUCCGAGUGGUAGAUCCUGCCCCGUUCUACAGUAUGUGCAUACGAGAUACCUGUGAGAUGAGUGAAGUCCAGGCUGCCUGUAACAUGGUCUCUGCCUACGUCCAUCUUUGUGGUCGAGGCUUUGUACCUCUGGCAAUUCCCCCUCGGUGUGCUUAAGAUUCUGCUCAGGGCCGCCCUGGGAUGACAAAGGAGAGCCAGCUCUUUCACCUUUUGACAAGUUCUAGCAUCCAACAACCAGUGGCAACUUUAUAGAGAAUCAUCCCUAAGGAGGGAGAAAAUGCAUCCCCAGGACACCCAAGAAAAUGAAGAAAAUGUCUAGCAUGCUAGCCCAUGGCCUGCUGAAGGGGAGCCAUUUAUUGUUUUAAGUAGCAUGGCCAAGGACAAGGGAGGUAGCCCUCCCCAACAGGUUUCAGAGAAGCUCUUCUUCCUUCACUGCAAGAGCCUAAGACGUUUCCUAUUCUGACCCAAAAAGCUCUCCUCUGACAGUUCAAAGUAGUUGUUUUACUCCAGGAUGAAGAGGAGAGAACAAUCUGCUUUGGUUGGAAAGAAGACUUAUUCAUUGCCUACUUAGUGAGCACCUACUACACAAAGCAUGGUAGUUCUGAAUCAGCUGUAAGGAAGUCUUACUUAUUAAUUCUAUUAACUCAGGUUUCUUCCAGAUGUAUUUUACCAUCAAAUUCUAUUUUGUGAUUGGCUUAAAAUCCUAUUAACUCAGGUUUCUUCCAGAUGUAUUUUAUCAUCAAAUUCUAUUUUGUGAUUGGCUUAAAAUCUUAUUAACUCAGGUUUCUUCCAGAUGUAUUUUACCAUCAAAUUCUGUUUUGUGAUUGGCUUUAAAAAAAUCACCUGAUUUGGCUUUCUUGACCUUACCUGUACCAACUUGUCAUUUCCUACUAGGGUUGCAUUUUGCUCAGGCAGCCAUAGUAUUUCCAAAAAGCGGAGAUCUCUUCAGAUUUUCUUGUUAUCAAGCUAUUUUUUAAAAAAAUUACUGUAAAUAAACUAGAUUUAAAUUUUGAGGUUUGGUGAGAACAACCUCCUGAAUUAAUAUUCAUGGAGAGCUCUCAAGUGAAUAGUAGCAUACCAUGAGCAUAGGUUUUUAUAACUUAUUCUGACCAUGACAUGGAAUAACAGGGUCCUGAUUUAUACUGUAAUCAAAAUUGUGAAUUUGAUUUAAUGUAAUUUCUUUAAUUUUGUUACUUAUUAAUAAAUUUGGUUGAAUCUAAGAACUUAUUUGUUUUGGGGAAUCUAUUAUUUAGUAAAAAUAAUUUAGGUUUAUGUGGUACUUUGAAUAUAUUAUUAAAUCAUGGAUUCUGACACCUGUGUAACCCUCUUGUUUUUAAUAAAUAAUUUAAUAAAAUACAUAGAAUUAUAAAGAAAACCAUUUUUGUCAAAAUAUAGCUAUCAAUUAUUAAAAGUUUAUGAUCUUCAAGUUAUGAACUUCUGUUUUAACUACCUUAAAUCCAAAGUGGAGAGUAUUAUCUCUCUUUUACAAUGAUGAAAUCAGCCCAGAGAGGAGGGACAUCUCAAGAUCACAUAGCUAGACCAGUAAGUGGUAGAGUUAAGCCUCAAACUCAGGAGAGUUCAGCAUGGCAUAUUACUGGGGUACUGAAUGACCUGACUUCAAAUCCCUGCUCAUAUAUUUACUAGAUAUAUGAUCCUAGUCUAGUCAGAUAUUCAAUUUCCUCAUAUGCAAAAUGGAAAUGGAGGAAAGAAGACUGGAUUUUGAUGGCUUCUAUGGUUAUUUCUAGCUCUAAACCUAUGGUGCUAUGAUUUAAGUCUGUGUUCUUUCCACUGUCAUGCCAGGGAAAUUUUUCUUUUGUAAAAAAUAAUUAUAAAUGAGGACUCAUUCCAUUGUACCCACUUAAGGUCAUGCUUUCAGAAUUUAAGAUUUCAAGGCAAAAAGAAUAAUAGGCUUAAGGCUUUCUCAUUUUGCAUUUCUGACAAAAGGCAAGGGACCACUUGGGAUUGCCUUUGUUUUCACUAUUAACUAGUUAAUUAUCAUUUAGGGGCUCCUGCUUUCCCCUUGGC